AAGGUUUCUAUCUUGAAGGGGAAAUUAAAGCUGCUUGAAGGGGGUUGUGGAUUCUUCGUGUUUCCAAAGCUUCUUAAGACUUCUACAUACCACGUUCUAUCUUUCCAUCUAUCUUUUUUAUUUUCUUCUUUAUUAAUUCUAUAUCUUAGAUUUCAUCCUUCUAUUUUUUUCCUCUUAAUUAUUUAUUAUUUUUUUCUUUAGUUUUAUUUGACUUGGAUUCGUUUGUGCUUUAGGUUGUUUCAAAAUCCAAGUUUC
RNAcentral lists this long non-coding RNA (255 nucleotides) under Gossypium raimondii (Peruvian cotton). RNAcentral's name for it is "long non-coding RNA (GRAI_LNC004567)". Lineage: Eukaryota; Viridiplantae; Streptophyta; Magnoliopsida; Malvales; Malvaceae. The record is from RNAcentral.